Molecule: transfer RNA, 65 nt
Filed under: Pseudotetracha mendacia
Lineage: Eukaryota; Metazoa; Arthropoda; Insecta; Coleoptera; Carabidae
Description: tRNA-Cys
Source: RNAcentral
GGUUUUGUAGUUUAUAAAAUAUUAAAUUGCAAGUUUAAAGAUAAAACUAUAAGUUUUUAAAACCU